GCCCUCCAGCUCCCUUUCCCGUCAGAUCUGAACACUGGUCUUGGUGGUCCUAAAGGAGGAAAAGAAUGCUGAAGCUGGCCUCCCAGCCUUCUAGUUUGGUAUAUAGCAUGUGGGCUAGUUUCAAACAAGG
Molecule: small nucleolar RNA, 130 nt
Organism: Octodon degus (degu)
Lineage: Eukaryota; Metazoa; Chordata; Mammalia; Rodentia; Octodontidae
Source: Ensembl